UCUGGCAGGUUCCUAAGUCAUAGGACAGAAACGACAGAAAAGGCAUGAUGGUGAGGUCAGCCAAGGCUGGGAUCUCUGGUUGCUGGGGCCCCUUUGCCUGGUGCUGCCUGCAGCAUGGCCAGAAACUACUCUACAGCACAGGCUUCUACAGCACAGGCUUCUGAGGCUCAGCUCCAGGAUAGGCGCUAUUCCAGGCUAAACUCCUGACCACUCCUUGCCCCACUCAGUUCCAUCCAGACAGGGGAUUAGAAGCAGUUUGCUAGAAUGCCCUUUGGGUGUUGGAGGCUGUGAUAUUUUCUAAGGGUAAACUCAACUGCAGCAUGUGACGAGAGGCCAGUUGAGUGCCUUGGAGACCACAUCUCCCAGAAUACUCUAAGAGCACCAGGGACUACAAUUCCCAGAAUUCCCCGCCUUGCCAGCAGCACACACAGCUCCCAGCAUGCAAUGCCCUGGUGAUCUACAAAGGCUAUGGCUGCUCUGGGUCUGGUCCUGUUCACUUCUGGCGUCCCAGCCGUGACAGCACCACCGUUCUAAGUUCGGCGGCUCUGUGUUACAACUCCUAGGUCAAGCCGAGUCCAUCCAGUUAACUAGCCGAGUACCUGGGCCUUUCUGAGGCUGCUUCCCCAUUUGGUAGAUGGGUCCAAACCCACCAGCUUGUUGCAGUUGAAGGUAACGUGUGUGGAUCUCCCUACACUGAGGCCAGAGGGCAACAAACGUUUCUCCUUGGAACUCCUCUCCUUCCCUUCCUGUGAAUACCCAUGUGGUGUCCUUGAUCAAAGUUGCUACAGAUUGUUACCUGAUGGGCAGAACACUAGGAGUGACCAAGGUGAAGGUCAUUGCUUGCACAUAUGCCCACUCACUUAUUCAUUGCGACACAGUGAGCCCAGAGACCACUGGCCAUAGAGCUUGUCCUAGGAUAAUUGCCCCCUCUUCCCCAGGUCCAGUAGUCAUGCCGGGCAGCCUGAACCCCAGGGCUGCCGGGUGUGGACCACCUCAGCCCUAACAUAGUACCUGGCACAUGCUAGAUUCUUAGUAAGCUAAAUGUCUGAGAUUCUUCAGGAGGCAAUCUAGGGGAGACAAGAAGGGUCUGGGCCCACAGGGCCUCUCCCUAGCAGCUUGGGACUUUAAAGGGAUUCCCUCCCCCCAGUUAACAUGGCAUCAGAUGGCCCUGAUCUGCUGACCCAAUGUUCCCCUUCCCCCUACUUCAGCAAUAGCUGUGAACUGUGUGUGGCAUUUGGCCUGGCUUCAUUACGCAGGGAGCUUCGCGGUGGCUCAUCUCUUCUGAACACCCAAACCCAGCUCCUUGGUGCCAUGCUGCAGGCUGCCAACCCUGGGGCUGACCCUGGAAAUUCCAGUGAGUCCCCUUCAGGGCUUCAGAUGGUUUGCAUCACACCUCCUGUCCCCCGCUCCUCGGAACAAUUUCCCCACACCCAUACCCAGGCUGCUGAUUGGCCAAUUACGGAGGAAUUACAUCACGGAUUAUGUUUUGCGCAGGCCUGCCCCGCCCAUCCUUGGUAGUGACCGAGGCCAAGUCACCAGGCAGAACAAAGCACAUCUCUUCCCACCUCACUUCUCUCCUAAUUGAAAACAAUUCAGAAAUCACUGAGCAGUUUGGCAUGAGGACAAUUUCUGGUAUAGAGAGAGGCGGCAGAGAGCAGGCAGUUGGGAUGCCCGUGGUGGCGAGGGAGGGAACUGAUUGGUGGGCCGUGCCAGGGCGAGGCCGGGGGGGCCUUACGUGUCGUAGAGCACAAUGGUGCGGGAGCCAUUGCAGUUGUUGACGAUGCAGCAAGAGCAUGGGGUUUCCCCUCUGCCCUGCCAGGCCACCUGAGACACAUCCACGCCCCGCUGCCUGAAGUCGGCCACCAGGAAGCUUGAGGUGGAGCCCGAGCCAAGGGAAGGGCAAGGAGACACAAAUUAGAGCCUACGAGUGGCCUGGGCCUCCCUCAGGGUUGAGGAGGAAUGCCGGAGCAGGGGUGCCUCUCUGAGAAGAAGGGUCCCGUUCCGGGAGUUCGGUGAUGGCGGCGGCGGCGGCUGGCAAGGUGCGGACAGGCGUACAAACCUGUAGGCAUGGAGGAUGGUGCGGCUACCACUGGCCUCGUUGAUGAUGACUGUGGAGAUGGGGACAGAGCCCGUGGUCUGAAAGACUGUGUAGCGUAGGUCCACAGAAUAGCGGCGGAGGUCAUCCAGGACAAAACUGCCGAGACGGAGUAACCCAGGGGAGGUGUAGUUCGAUAGGGUUUGGGGACUGGAGGGAGGCGGCAGGGACUCCGGCUGCAAAGGGUUUGGGGACUGGAGGGAGGCGGCAGGGACUCCGGCUGCAAAGGGUUUGGGGACUGGAGGGAGGCGGCAGGGACUCUGGCUGCAAGCAGAGGGGGCUAGGAGGGAGCCGGGAAUCACCGUGCUGUCAGAGGCUAUGCCAGGGGGCAGGAGAGGCAGGGGCACAGAGCCUGGAACUCAGGGAGAGAAACACUAAGGGACGUUCUUUUAGGUCCUGGCUGAGGUAAACUCCAACCCGGAUCCUGUCCUUCAGUCUGACUCAAGCCAGAAAGGACGUGCUCAGUGAACCCAGAUGGGGUAGAUCUGGGGGCCUGGAGCACGUGCCCUGCUUGAACGAAGCAGGUAUCUCAGAGGAGGGCUCCACUAACUCAGGUGACCUCCUCCUCAGUUACAAAGACCCACCUCUCCCCCAGGCAGAGGGACCUUCAGCCUCCACCUUGAUUGCUGGAUACCAAGAGCCUCUUCCCAAAGGUGUCAAAUCUGCUACCUACUCCUGUCCUUGUAACAACUCAGGUCAAAAUAAGUAAGACAGGGAGCAAACCUGUACGCUGUAACCAAUGUAGGAGUUAUGUGGAGGGAAAGCUAACUUUUACCAUGUCAAGGUUAAGGGGUGCCUGGGUGGCUCAGUCAGUUAAACAUCCGGCCCUUGGCUUCAGCUCAGGUCACAAUCUCGUGGUUUCGUGGGUUCAAGUCCCAUGUCGGGCUCUGCGCUGGCAGUGCUGAGCCU
Felis catus (domestic cat) is the source of this 3004-nucleotide long non-coding RNA. RefSeq lists it as uncharacterized. NCBI's taxonomy places the organism in Eukaryota, Metazoa, Chordata, Mammalia, Carnivora, Felidae. The record is from RefSeq and is a predicted model, not a curated record. The transcript is spliced from 3 exons.